AAACCAGCACCUCAAGUGGUCAGGAUGAUUAUUGGGCCUAAAGCAUCCGUAGCCGGCUCUGUAAGUUUUCGGUUAAAUCUGUACGCUCAACGUACAGGCUGCCGGGAAUACUGCAGAGCUAGGGAGUGGGAGAGGUAGACGGUACUCGGUAGGAAGGGGUAAAAUCCUUUGAUCUAUUGAUGACCACCUGUGGCGAAGGCGGUCUACCAGAACACGUCCGACGGUGAGGGAUGAAAGCUGGGGGAGCAAACCGGAUUAGAAACCCCGGUAGUCC
RNAcentral lists this ribosomal RNA (274 nucleotides) under uncultured bacterium. RNAcentral's name for it is "partial 16S ribosomal RNA". It matches the Rfam family "Archaeal small subunit ribosomal RNA", at positions 473 to 747 of the family's 1478-position model. The record is from RNAcentral.